This is a long non-coding RNA of Macrobrachium nipponense, 3110 nucleotides long. RefSeq lists it as uncharacterized. The transcript is spliced from 4 exons. The record is from RefSeq and is a predicted model, not a curated record. Lineage: Eukaryota; Metazoa; Arthropoda; Malacostraca; Decapoda; Palaemonidae.
UCACUAUUAUUGUCUAAUUGGUAACUAUUUCAGAGAUCCUGUUCCUGAUACUCCAUGUUGGUGUGGGACUGUGGGUCACCGACUCACCGUUAAGUUGGUAACGGCAUUAGCAAUUUAGCAAUGGAGCAAUUUAGCACUUGAAAGCUGCAGCAAGUUGAACGUUCACUUAACCUAACUGUAUCGUCAAUUUCAUUGAGCUUUAUGCAUAGCAAAUUGAGAAAUCGGUUCCAUGAUAAAGAACUCUUCAUGAGGAGGUGUAAGAAAAUGCAGAUAGCUACAAAAUCGCCAAACUUACUGGAAGAUACAUAUGCAAUAGUGUAUUAUAGUGGAUCCAUGUAUGGACAGUAUACCAAAGAAUAAUUUUCAUCAAGAUUGGAUCUCUUGUGACAGUCACUGUACUUGGAGCAAUGGAUCAAAGUAUGCUGAGCUGAUAGCAACUUAUCACAGUCAACAGACUGGAGCACUGUUCCCUAAUAGAAUAUACCAAUGGGUUAAGGUGGCAGAGCUGGAAAUCGAACUCGCAACUACCGAUCAGUAGGCGAGUACAUAACCCACUUCUCCGAGGAACUCUUUGAAGUCCAGAACAACUAACCUCAAGAGACGCACAUUUGGCUAAAGAGACCCGUGAGUUUAGUUGCUGGCUAAAGGGGACUGGAGAGUUCAGUUGCUAUGUCAUUUACUGCCCACUGAAGUAAUGGAAACGCCACUCAAUCUAGCCAAAUUGUAUGGAGCAUAAUAUUAAUGCCCACCAGGAGUGAAUCCAUCCACCACUCAAAACCUGUUAUUGCUACUUAUAUGAUGGUAUCUGUCCAUGAAGGGUGCAAGUUAAAGUAAAAGUAAAGACAGCAAAGCUGCUGAAUACCAUCAGGAAAGCUGAAAAGAACCCUACUGCACAUGAAGAUUACACCUACCUGACAAGGGAUUAUAAGUAAUUCCUUCAUUGCAGAAAAACACUAAGGAUAUAAAAGAGUGAAACAAAGCGAUUUAAAUUACUUAAAAACAUUAAGAUAAUCAUGGUAACAUCAGAAAAAUAUGCAGUGAUCUGAUGAAUUUAGUGAGCUGUGUUCAGUAUUAUAAACUCUAAGUGAGGCUGUCAACUGUUCAGUCCAGGGACCUGUGUGCGCAUGCAUAUGACUAACUCCACUCUAAUUUUGUCUGUGAAACAAAUCAUUCUUUCAGAAUGUUGAAAAUCAAAACACACAGAGAAAACCCAUUACCUUUACAGAGGAAAGAAGAAAUGUACAAUAAUCAACUGGUGAGAGGAGAGCAAGAGAGACUACUCUCCAAAUUGGGCAAAGAAGGAAUAUUGUGUCAAAAGGUUCUAUGCCUGGUCAGUGAACAGCUUCCACCUCAUAUAAGCAUGAGCUGCAAGAUGCCACAGAUUCCUUGCUUUACAAUCUUUGAUUGUUUUUAACCAGUUUCCAGCUGGCACAAGAAGAUAAUCCUGUCCUAUUGUUAAGACCGAGGUUUUGUUCCACAUAUGAACAAAUAAGUUUAGGGUUAUGGGUUCUUGCAUCAUAAAUACAACAUGGCUUGGAAAUUAUACUAAAUUAAUAAACAAAACUGACAUGAAAAAUCUAACCUAAAGCAAUGCAUUUAGUGCCUAAAUUUGCCUUACCUGAACGGAGCUAUAACAUCUUUUUUACAUUCAAAGGUAGAUUCUCGUGUGAGCGUGUUGUACCAGUACUUCCUGUUUUGGCCCUUGCUGAAUGCCAUCAUCCAAGGCUCUAGAAUUAGUAAAGAAAAAAAUUAAAAUGGGAAAAAUAACAUUUGAGUGCCUACAUCAACCAUAAUCUAAUACAUUCAACCUCAUUACUUCAACUCCGCCAAUUCAUGGACCUGCAUGAAUACUUCAACAAUUAUUAUAGAUAAGCACAUACACGUAUGGCUCUCUAGGUUUUCCAAGCAUAGGCAAUCUCACUUUAACUGGCCAAGUUGUUGUGACAGAACAAGGGGACAAGGAGAAAGGUAAUUAAGGUUACAGUAAUGGCUCCACAGGGCUCCAAUAACACUUCUGCGACCAUUAUUGGGCAAACACAAGCAUAGGCCCACUGACCAGGAUAAUCAAAAUGUCUCAAUACUGUCUGUGUUUCAAGAGCACCCGUGGAAUUUUAGUCAUCUCUAAGGAAACAGGCUCUUAACUUCCACCCACCAACAUGAAUCAUUUUCAUGCCUGUCAUCAGCAAUUGCACACUUACCAGUGACAUCAACUUCACAAGGAGUAUUUAUUGCCGAAUUAAGAAAGUUUGUGACUGAUUGAAUAUAGAAUUUAGGCCACAGGCAAAGCACUGGGACCUAUGAGGUCAUUCAGUGGUGCAAUGGAAAUUGACAGUAAAAAGUUUGAAAAGUGUACUAGAAGGUAAACCUCACAGUUGUUCGGAGAGGGUAGAAUGUGAAAGGAGGUACAACAAAAAGAACGAAAGUGGUUGCAGCACGGACAGAACUACCCUUAACGUGGGAGUUUCUAUGCUUUUAUGAACACGACUAAAGUUGAAAAACAAGAUAUUACUGCCUAGUUUAAAUUCACUUGUCAUUACCAUCCUUGUUCAUAUCACACUAAGAUUUGGUAUAAAUAAUUAGGAUUUGGAAAUAUCUUUCAUAGAAGCAAUGUAAUUUAAGCUGUCUUACCAAUGUGAUAGGCUGAGGUGGAUAAAAUGUCUGAAAAAGUAUGUACACAUCUAGAUCUACUAUUAAGAGAUUAAAAACAAAAGUUCAGUUUGUGGUAAGUUUCACAGAUAAAAUUUCAUACAGUAUAUGAAUUUAUUACCAUUUGUUGCUUUAAGAAGCAAUAGUGCUGUGGGUACAGUAUAAAAUGUUUCACGAUCCGAAUCGCCUUCCACUUCUGUGUACACUCUCCUUGGAAGAGCUCCGCCUUUCAUAAGUCGGUGAUGUAGCCUGAAAAAAUUAAUUUGCAAACCUAUUAUUAAUAAUAUACAUUCUUCAACCACACAAAUAACUGCCAUUCUUAACAUGUAGUUAUCUUAAUGAAAUUACAUCUAAUUACUGUACUGAACUUUAAUUCAAUGGUGUCAUAACCUGAAACAUUGAGGUUCUCACAGUUUCCGAAAGGGAUUGGUUUGUUCCUUAACUUGAUAUAAAAAAAAAAACAA